AAAUACUUAAAUGUAACACAUGAAACUGUAAAACUAAGAGGAGAAAAACAGAAAAAGGUAAAAAGGCUUCUUGAUAUGGAUCUGGGUGUGGUUUUUAAAAAAUAUGACCCCAAAGCAUAGACAACAAAAGCAGAAGUAGACAAACGGGACUACAUCAAAAUAAAAAGCAUCUAUCUGCACAAAAAAGGCUCAGUAGAGUAAAUAGACCAGCUGUGGAAUGGGAGACAAUAUUUGCAAACCAUACUUCUUAAAAGGGGUGAAUAUUCUAGUUUAUAAGGAAAUCGAGCCUCCCACUGCCACCACUGCUGCCCCCCAGAGACUGCUGAGCCCCCAUUGGUCUGCCGCCACCACCCAAUCCAGAAACAGAACAUCUAAUCAUGGAUAAAAAUGAGCUGGUUCAGAAGGCCAAACUGGCCGAGUAGGCUGAGCGAUAUGAUGACAUGGUAGCCUGCAUGAAAUCUGUAACAGAGCGAGAAGCCCAAUUAUCCAGUGAGGAGAGGAACCUUCUCUCAGUUGCUUGCAAAAAUGUUGUAGGAGCCCAUAGGUCAUCUUGAAGGUCGUUUCAAUUAUUGAACAAAAGAUGGAAGGUGCUGAGAAAAAACAGCAGAUGGCCCGACAACACAAAGAAAAUUGAGACAGAGCUAAUAGAUAUCUGUAAUGAUGUACUGUCUCUUUUGGAAAAGGUCUUGAUCCCCAAUGCUUCACAUGCAGAGAGCAAAGUCUUCUAUUUCAAAAUGAAAGGAGAUUACUACCGUUACUUGGUUGAGGUUGCGGCUAGUGAUGACAAGAAAGGGAUUGUGAAUCAGUCACAACAAUCCUACCAAGAAGCUUUUGAAAUCAGCAAAAAGGAAAUGCAACCAACACAUCCUAUCAGAUUGGGUCUGGCCCUUAACUUCUCUGUGUUCUAUUAUGAGACUCUGAACUCCCUAGAGAAAGCCUGAUCUC
This is an RNA transcript of Cercocebus atys (sooty mangabey), 945 nucleotides long. It is a transcript of the gene named 14-3-3 protein zeta/delta pseudogene, with no coding region annotated. The record is from RefSeq and is a predicted model, not a curated record. NCBI's taxonomy places the organism in Eukaryota, Metazoa, Chordata, Mammalia, Primates, Cercopithecidae. The transcript has a single exon.